GAGACAGCAGUAGCCGCGGUAACACGAAGGGGGCUAGUGUUGCUCGGAAUCACUGGGCGUAAAGGGUGCGUAGGCGGGUCUUUAAGUCAGGGGUGAAAUCCUGGAGCUCAACUCCAGAACUGCCUUUGAUACUGAAGAUCUUGAGUUCGGGAGAGGUGAGUGGAACUGCGAGUGUAGAGGUGAAAUUCGUAGAUAUUCGCAAGAACACCAGUGGCGAAGGCGGCUCACUGGCCCGAUACUGACGCUGAGGCACGAAAGCAUAGGGAGCAAACAGGAUUAGAUACCCCGGUAGUCCCUGUCUCUUAUAC
RNAcentral lists this ribosomal RNA (308 nucleotides) under uncultured bacterium. RNAcentral's name for it is "partial 16S ribosomal RNA". It matches the Rfam family "Bacterial small subunit ribosomal RNA", at positions 505 to 807 of the family's 1533-position model. The record is from RNAcentral.